GACGAACGCUGGCGGCGUGCCUAAUACAUGCAAGUCGAGCGCAGGAAGUCAUCCGUACCCUUCGGGUGGACGUUGACGGAAUUAGCGGCGGCGGGGUGAGUAACACGUAAAGAACCUGCUAUCAGGUCUGGGAUAACCACAAGAAAUCGUGGCUAAUACCGGUGGGGUCAUCGGACUGCAUGGUUCGAGCGUGUAGGGCGCUACGGCGUCGCCUGGGGCUGGCUUUGCGGUGCGUUGGCUAGUUGGUGGGGUAAUGGGCCACGGGGGCGACGAUGCAUCGCCGACGGGAGAGGGGGAUAGGCCACACUGGGACGGGGACACGGCCCAGACGCCUGAGGGAGGCAGCAGUAGGGAAUGUUCCACAAUGGACGGAAAUCUGGUGGAACAGGGCCGAGUGAGCGAUGAAGGCCCUCGGGUCGUAAAGUUCUGUUGUGAGGGGAGAACAAGUGCCGCAGGCGAUGGCGGCACCUUGACGGUACCUUGCAAGAAAGCCACGGCUAACUACGUG
This 508-nucleotide ribosomal RNA is filed under the name uncultured bacterium. Its description in RNAcentral is "partial 16S ribosomal RNA". It matches the Rfam family "Bacterial small subunit ribosomal RNA", at positions 28 to 507 of the family's 1533-position model. The record is from RNAcentral.